RNAcentral lists this ribosomal RNA (799 nucleotides) under Shigella flexneri. RNAcentral describes it as "partial 23S ribosomal RNA". It matches the Rfam family "Bacterial large subunit ribosomal RNA", at positions 772 to 1571 of the family's 2925-position model. Lineage: Bacteria; Pseudomonadati; Pseudomonadota; Gammaproteobacteria; Enterobacterales; Enterobacteriaceae. The record is from RNAcentral.
GACCGAACCGACUAAUGUUGAAAAAUUAGCGGAUGACUUGUGGCUGGGGGUGAAAGGCCAAUCAAACCGGGAGAUAGCUGGUUCUCCCCGAAAGCUAUUUAGGUAGCGCCUCGUGAAUUCAUCUCCGGGGGUAGAGCACUGUUUCGGCAAGGGGGUCAUCCCGACUUACCAACCCGAUGCAAACUGCGAAUACCGGAGAAUGUUAUCACGGGAGACACACGGCGGGUGCUAACGUCCGUCGUGAAGAGGGAAACAACCCAGACCGCCAGCUAAGGUCCCAAAGUCAUGGUUAAGUGGGAAACGAUGUGGGAAGGCCCAGACAGCCAGGAUGUUGGCUUAGAAGCAGCCAUCAUUUAAAGAAAGCGUAAUAGCUCACUGGUCGAGUCGGCCUGCGCGGAAGAUGUAACGGGGCUAAACCAUGCACCGAAGCUGCGGCAGCGACGCUUAUGCGUUGUUGGGUAGGGGAGCGUUCUGUAAGCCUGUGAAGGUGUGCUGUGAGGUAUGCUGGAGGUAUCAGAAGUGCGAAUGCUGACAUAAGUAACGAUAAAGCGGGUGAAAAGCCCGCUCGCCGGAAGACCAAGGGUUCCUGUCCAACGUUAAUCGGGGCAGGGUGAGUCGACCCCUAAGGCGAGGCCGAAAGGCGUAGUCGAUGGGAAACAGGUUAAUAUUCCUGUACUUGGUGUUACUGCGAAGGGGGGACGGAGAAGGCUAUGUUGGCCGGGCGACGGUUGUCCCGGUUUAAGCGUGUAGGCUGGUUUUCCAGGCAAAUCCGGAAAAUCAAGGCCGAGGCGUGAUGACG